RNAcentral lists this ribosomal RNA (408 nucleotides) under Triticum aestivum (bread wheat). Its description in RNAcentral is "partial small subunit ribosomal RNA". The record is from RNAcentral. Lineage: Eukaryota; Viridiplantae; Streptophyta; Magnoliopsida; Poales; Poaceae.
AUGAGGCAUCCGAACCUUGUCACUCUGAUAGGAGCGUGCAGGGAGGCCAGAGUGUUGGUCUUCGAGUUCUUGUCAAAUGGAAGCCUAGAGGACUGUCUGCAGCGCGAGAACCGAAGAGAGGCACUCUCAUGGCGAAUGCGCGUCAGAAUUGCUGCAGACAUUUGCACGGGACUUAUCUUUCUCCACUCCAACAAACCAAAAGGCAUCGCACAUGGUGAUCUCAAGCCUGACAAUGUCCUUCUCGACGCCAACUUUGUUUGCAAACUGGCAGACUUUGGGAUCUCUCUCCCCUUGAAUGUCACAAACACCACUAUCACCCCUUACCACCGAACAAACCAACUCAAGGGCACAAUGGGAUACAUGGAUCCAGCAUAUAUUGCGUCAGGGGAGCUCACGGCACUAAUAUGA